Long non-coding RNA from Pocillopora damicornis (cauliflower coral), 175 nucleotides. The record is from RefSeq and is a predicted model, not a curated record. Lineage: Eukaryota; Metazoa; Cnidaria; Anthozoa; Scleractinia; Pocilloporidae.
CUAUCUUGCAAGCUCAACUGAAUUCGCGACAGACAUCUGAAAUUAACUUCGUAAGGGAAAGGACGGCUCUUUUCUAAUUUAAUUACAGAUCAGACAAAUGAGACAAGCUCGUAUUUGACACUGGAUCAUUAUGCAGUCAGUAUUUGUGUUUUUAGCCUUUUCCUGCUUCUGUUUG